RNAcentral lists this ribosomal RNA (442 nucleotides) under uncultured bacterium. Its description in RNAcentral is "partial 16S ribosomal RNA". It matches the Rfam family "Bacterial small subunit ribosomal RNA", at positions 338 to 795 of the family's 1533-position model. The record is from RNAcentral.
CCUACGGGAGGCUGCAGUGGGGAAUAUUGGGCAAUGGGCGCAAGCCUGACCCAGCAACGCCGCGUGAAGGAAGAAGGCUUUCGGGUUGUAAACUUCUUUUGUCAGGGAAGAGUAGAAGACGGUACCUGACGAAUAAGCCACGGCCAACUACGUGCCAGCAGCCGCGGUAAUACGUAGGUGGCAAGCGGUGUCCGGAUUUACGGGGUGUAAAGGGCGUGUAGCCGGGUUGACAAGUCAGAUGUGAAAUCCUGCGGCUUAACCGCAGAACUGCAUUUGAAACUGUUGAUCUUGAGUACUGGAGAGGCACACGGAAUUCCUAGUGUAGCGGUGAAAUGCGUAGAUAUUAGGAGGAACACCAGUGGCGAAGGCGGUCUGCUGGACAGCAACUGACGGUGAGGCGCGAAAGCGUGGGGAGCAAACAGGAUUAGAUACCCUUGUAGUC